AUUGAACGCUGGCGGCAGGCCUAACACAUGCAAGUCGAACGGUAACAGGAAGCAGCUUGCUGCUUCGCUGACGAGUGGCGGACGGGUGAGUAAUGUCUGGGAAACUGCCUGAUGGAGGGGGAUAACUACUGGAAACGGUAGCUAAUACCGCAUAACGUCGCAAGACCAAAGAGGGGGACCUUAGGGCCUCUUGCCAUCGGAUGUGCCCAGAUGGGAUUAGCUAGUAGGUGGGGUAACGGCUCACCUAGGCGACGAUCCCUAGCUGGUCUGAGAGGAUGACCAGCCACACUGGAACUGAGACACGGUCCAGACGCCUAAGGGAGGCAGCAGUGGGGAAUAUUGCACAAUGGGCGCAAGCCUGAUGCAGCCAUGCCGCGUGUAUGAAGAAGGCCUUCGGGUUGUAAAGUACUUUCAGCGGGGAGGAAGGGAGUAAAGUUAAUACCUUUGCUCAUUGACGUUACCCGCAGAAGAAGCACCGGCUAACUCCGUG
This 490-nucleotide ribosomal RNA is filed under the name uncultured bacterium. Its description in RNAcentral is "partial 16S ribosomal RNA". It matches the Rfam family "Bacterial small subunit ribosomal RNA", at positions 30 to 507 of the family's 1533-position model. The record is from RNAcentral.